This 528-nucleotide ribosomal RNA is filed under the name Lepidosaphes ulmi. RNAcentral's name for it is "partial 28S ribosomal RNA". The record is from RNAcentral. Lineage: Eukaryota; Metazoa; Arthropoda; Insecta; Hemiptera; Diaspididae.
AUCUGGGCGGCGAAAUUCAGAAUGACUGGCUCUGUUCUUUGUGCACGUUGGUCGUUUGAUAUUUUCGUCGCCGUGUCAGACGUCGCGAUCUGUUUGUUGUCGGUCCCUGCUCGGAGGAGUUGCGAUCGAGUUUGUUGUGGACGCGUUUCGGCGUGUCAUACGGCAAAGACGCGAAUCUCUGGCCGAUAACGGACAGUAAGCAAUGGUAGCCGGCGCUGUGUCACGUGCACAGUGUUGGUACCGAUCAGCGACGAUUUCUUCGGGCCUCUUUCCGACCCGUCUUGAAACACGGACCAAGGAGUCUAACAUACGCGCGAGUCGCGGGGUAUCGAGCGUACUACGGUGCGUUCGGUCAUUAUGAAACCCGUAUGUUGAAGGCGUAAUGAAAGUAAAUGGGGAAGAUGGUGUUCCGAGUAUACUUACCGUGAAGUUUCGCGGCCGGACACCCGCAUUCCCAGGGCGUCUCAAUGUUCAUCGUGAAUGCGGAUUGUCGUUCUUCGGGGCGGUAGUCGGUUUGCGAUGGUCCGA